GGUCAAUGAUGACUAGUAAAAGGUCUGAGUGCACAAGAGAAUUGCACUCCCAUUACCCUUUCAGCUCCCAACAGUCUCUCUUUGUCCCAUCGUGCUAUAGCAGUGCUGUGAUUGGGGGAAAGGCUGCUGACAAUGAAGGAUAAGUUCAGUGCCUGUUAUCCACAGUGUAAGGAAGCAUGGCCCUGAAUGUCAUCCAACAGAACCAAUUAAGGAGUUUAGGGUGUUGGGGUGUCUUGAUUUGUGGUGUGUGUGAUCUCAAGUUUUCAAGCUGAGACC
This 276-nucleotide small nucleolar RNA is filed under the name Chelydra serpentina (North American snapping turtle). RNAcentral describes it as "Small Cajal body specific RNA 6 (ENSCSRG00000008826.1)". It matches the Rfam family "Small Cajal body specific RNA 6". Rfam says of the family: U88 is small Cajal body specific RNA (scaRNA). scaRNAs are a novel class of small nuclear RNAs which localise to the Cajal bodies. U88 is found associated with both fibrillarin and Gar1p and co-localises with coilin in Cajal bodies. Lineage: Eukaryota; Metazoa; Chordata; Testudines; Chelydridae. The record is from Rfam by way of RNAcentral.